GGCGAACGGGUGAGUAACACGUGAGUAACCUGCCCACAACUUUGGGAUAACGCUAGGAAACUGGUGCUAAUACUGGAUAUGUGCUCCUGCUGCAUGGUGGGGGUUGGAAAGCUCCGGCGGUUGUGGAUGGACUCGCGGCCUAUCAGCUUGUUGGUGGGGUAAUGGCCUACCAAGGCGGCGACGGGUAGCCGGCCUGAGAGGGUGUACGGCCACAUUGGGACUGAGAUACGGCCCAG
This 236-nucleotide ribosomal RNA is filed under the name uncultured Actinomycetales bacterium. RNAcentral's name for it is "partial 16S ribosomal RNA". It matches the Rfam family "Bacterial small subunit ribosomal RNA", at positions 97 to 334 of the family's 1533-position model. Lineage: Bacteria; Bacillati; Actinomycetota; Actinomycetes; Actinomycetales. The record is from RNAcentral.